Molecule: long non-coding RNA, 681 nt
Filed under: Homo sapiens (human)
Lineage: Eukaryota; Metazoa; Chordata; Mammalia; Primates; Hominidae
Description: non-protein coding lnc-ELFN2-3:1
Source: RNAcentral
AUUGACCCCUGCUGGGCUGGACUUGAGGUUCACGGCCACAUGGUUCCCUGUGCAGCGCCCCGUGGGUCCCAGCAGACACAGCACCAUAAUGGGAGACUUCUAGGCCGAGAGGGCAAAAGCUUCAAACAGCAGGCGGCAGCACCAGCUGUGUGGUGGCUGGGAGCUGGUCUAGCCUCCGCCUUCCUUCCAGAAGUCUCCCCAGCAUCCUCAACCAGGGCAGGAGCUGUGUUGCAGCGGUGCCUGUUGCAUGUGGAAGUCUCCCUUCAAGGUUUGCAUCAUGGAACUCACCUGGCCCAACCUCUCAGGGAGGAAAAUUCCAACCAGAGAGGGCCGCUCCUGUACUCUGGGAUGCCUUCUCCUGUCUGCCUGCCCAAAUCCUCGCUGACCUUCAAGUUCCAGCGUCGGGAAGUGCCUGGCCGCAUUUCUUAAAGGUUUUACAAGGAUAGACAUCAUUUCCUCCAAAAGAACACAGAGGGAAUGUUGAGCGCUCCCUUUCCCUACUUCUCCUUCUCAUGAUUAAGCAGGCAUUGUGGCUGUUGAGAUUAAAGCCCCAUGCGGAGAUGCAGGGCACCAGGCUAGAUGGAGCCCAGGUCCCCAGGCAGCGGUGUGGAGAAGACUCAUCAUGUUCACCUGGCCCACCUAUCCAUUUGGACUUUUCAAUAAGAAAUAAAUCAGUUUUGA